RNAcentral lists this ribosomal RNA (1200 nucleotides) under Morganella morganii. RNAcentral's name for it is "bacterial SSU rRNA". It matches the Rfam family "Bacterial small subunit ribosomal RNA", at positions 40 to 1237 of the family's 1533-position model. Lineage: Bacteria; Pseudomonadati; Pseudomonadota; Gammaproteobacteria; Enterobacterales; Morganellaceae. The record is from RNAcentral.
GGGCAGGAGGCUACCUGCAGUCGACGGGUACAGGGAGAGCUUGCUUCUUGGCUGACGAGUGGCGGACGGGUGAGUAAUGUCUGGGAAUCUGCCUGAUGGAGGGGGAUAACUACUGGAAACGGUAGCUAAUACCGCAUAAUGUCUCCGGACCAAAGAGGGGGACCUUCGGGCCUCGCGCCAUCGGAUGAGCCCAUAUGGGAUUAGCUAGUAGGUGGGGUAACGGCUCACCUAGGCGACGAUCCCUAGCUGGUCUGAGAGGAUGAUCAGCCACACUGGAACUGAGACACGGUCCAGACUCCUACGGGAGGCAGCAGUGGGGAAUAUUGCACAAUGGGCGCAAGCCUGAUGCAGCCAUGCCGCGUGUAUGAAGAAGGCCUUCGGGUUGUAAAGUACUUUCAGUGGGGAGGAAGGCGACAUGGUUAAUAACCUUGUCGAUUGACGUUACCCACAGAAGAAGCACCGGCUAACUCCGUGCCAGCAGCCGCGGUAAUACGGAGGGUGCAAGCGUUAAUCGGAAUUACUGGGCGUAAAGCGCACGCAGGCGGUCGAUUGAGUCAGAUGUGAAAUCCCCGGGCUCAACCUGGGAACUGCAUCUGAUACUGGUCAGCUAGAGUCUUGUAGAGGGGGGUAGAAUUCCAUGUGUAGCGGUGAAAUGCGUAGAGAUCUGGAGGAAUACCGGUGGCGAAGGCGGCCCCCUGGACAAAGACUGACGCUCAGGUGCGAAAGCGUGGGGAGCAAACAGGAUUAGAUACCCUGGUAGUCCACGCUGUAAACGAUGUCGACUUGGAGGUUGUGCCCUUGAGGCGUGGCUUCCGGAGCUAACGCGUUAAGUCUACCGCCUGGGGAGUACGGCCGCAAGGUUAAACUCAAAUGAAUUGACGGGGGCCCCACAAGCGGUGGAACAUGUGGUUUAAUUCGAUGCAACGCGAAGAACCUUACCUACUCUUGACAUCCAGAGAACUUUGCAAAAAUGCUUUGGUGCCUUCGGGAACUCUGAAACAGGUGCUGCAUGGCUGUCGUCAGCUCGGGUUGGGAAAUGUUGGGUUAAAUCCCCCAACGAACGCAACCCUUAUCCUUUGUUGCCAGCGGUUAAGUCGGGGAAACCAAAGGAAACUGCCCGGGAAAAAUCGGAAAAAAGUGGGGGAAAACUCCAAUCACCUAGGCCCUUACAAUAAGGGUUACACCUGGUCAAAUGGCGUA